AGUCCAUCUGGAGGCAAUAGGAAAUCAGACUGACUGGGUUAUAAAUCCAGAUGAAACCUCCAAGGAAGAGCGCCUUGUCUGCACCAUCUGUUCAGACUGAGCCGGAUGUGAAAUAUAAGGUGUCACUGGCACGAUCCCCGGAGGACUGUCACCGAAGGAUCCUCCUUCAAAUUGCCUUCAAUUUAUCACCGGCUGCUUUAAUUCCUUUCCAUGCUGUUCAUCAUUGUGUCGUCUGCCUUCCAGUUCCCCUUGGUCUUUAAACACAUCAGUGACCCGGCUGACCAGCUUGGCACACUCACAGAACAUUGCCUGCGUUCUCAGAUGCCUACUCCUCCCCGCCCUGCUAGAUUUACACUUACAAAGCUAUGCUGGGUGAAUACUGAUGACCUGUAAAAUGUGCAGCCCAGGGCUUUGACUAGCCUGGAACUACCUGCAUAUACCACACUGUUUUGAACUCACAGAGAUCCACCUGCCUCUGCUUCUCAAGUUCUGAAAUUUAAGGCAUACACCACAUGCCC
Molecule: long non-coding RNA, 518 nt
Organism: Peromyscus californicus insignis
Lineage: Eukaryota; Metazoa; Chordata; Mammalia; Rodentia; Cricetidae
Exons: 3
Source: RefSeq, a predicted model, not a curated record